UUAAGCGACUAAGCGUACACGGUGGAUGCCCUGGCAGUCAGAGGCGAUGAAGGACGUGCUAAUCUGCGAUAAGCGUCGGUAAGGUGAUAUGAACCGUUAUAACCGGCGAUUUCCGAAUGGGGAAACCCAGUGUGAUUCGUCACACUAUCAUUAACUGAAUCCAUAGGUUAAUGAGGCGAACCGGGGGAACUGAAACAUCUAAGUACCCCGAGGAAAAGAAAUCAACCGAGAUUCCCCCAGUAGCGGCGAGCGAACGGGGAGCAGCCCAGAGCCUGAAUCAGUGUGUGUGUUAGUGGAAGCGUCUGGAAAGGCGCGCGAUACAGGGUGACAGCCCCGUACACAAAAAUGCACAUACUGUGAGCUCGAUGAGUAGGGCGGGACACGUGGUAUCCUGUCUGAAUAUGGGGGGACCAUCCUCCAAGGCUAAAUACUCCUGACUGACCGAUAGUGAACCAGUACCGUGAGGGAAAGGCGAAAAGAACCCCGGCGAGGGGAGUGAAAAAGAACCUGAAACCGUGUACGUACAAGCAGUGGGAGCCUCUUUAUGGGGUGACUGCGUACCUUUUGUAUAAUGGGUCAGCGACUUAUAUUCUGUAGCAAGGUUAACCGAAUAGGGGAGCCGAAGGGAAACCGAGUCUUAACUGGGCGUUAAGUUGCAGGGUAUAGACCCGAAACCCGGUGAUCUAGCCAUGGGCAGGUUGAAGGUUGGGUAACACUAACUGGAGGACCGAACCGACUAAUGUUGAAAAAUUAGCGGAUGACUUGUGGCUGGGGGUGAAAGGCCAAUCAAACCGGGAGAUAGCUGGUUCUCCCCGAAAGCUAUUUAGGUAGCGCCUCGUGAAUUCAUCUCCGGGGGUAGAGCACUGUUUCGGCAAGGGGGUCAUCCCGACUUACCAACCCGAUGCAAACUGCGAAUACCGGAGAAUGUUAUCACGGGAGACACACGGCGGGUGCUAACGUCCGUCGUGAAGAGGGAAACAACCCAGACCGCCAGCUAAGGUCCCAAAGUCAUGGUUAAGUGGGAAACGAUGUGGGAAGGCCCAGACAGCCAGGAUGUUGGCUUAGAAGCAGCCAUCAUUUAAAGAAAGCGUAAUAGCUCACUGGUCGAGUCGGCCUGCGCGGAAGAUGUAACGGGGCUAAACCAUGCACCGAAGCUGCGGCAGCGACACUAUGUGUUGUUGGGUAGGGGAGCGUUCUGUAAGCCUGUGAAGGUGUGCUGUGAGGCAUGCUGGAGGUAUCAGAAGUGCGAAUGCUGACAUAAGUAACGAUAAAGCGGGUGAAAAGCCCGCUCGCCGGAAGACCAAGGGUUCCUGUCCAACGUUAAUCGGGGCAGGGUGAGUCGACCCCUAAGGCGAGGCCGAAAGGCGUAGUCGAUGGGAAACAGGUUAAUAUUCCUGUACUUGGUGUUACUGCGAAGGGGGGACGGAGAAGGCUAUGUUGGCCGGGCGACGGUUGUCCCGGUUUAAGCGUGUAGGCUGGUUUUCCAGGCAAAUCCGGAAAACUAAGGCUGAGGCGUGAUGACGAGGCACUACGGUGCUGAAGCAACAAAUGCCCUGCUUCCAGGAAAAGCCUCUAAGCAUCAGGUAACAUCAAAUCGUACCCCAAACCGACACAGGUGGUCAGGUAGAGAAUACCAAGGCGCUUGAGAGAACUCGGGUGAAGGAACUAGGCAAAAUGGUGCCGUAACUUCGGGAGAAGGCACGCUGAUAUGUAGGUGAAGCGACUUGCUCGUGGAGCUGAAAUCAGUCGAAGAUACCAGCUGGCUGCAACUGUUUAUUAAAAACACAGCACUGUGCAAACACGAAAGUGGACGUAUACGGUGUGACGCCUGCCCGGUGCCGGAAGGUUAAUUGAUGGGGUUAGCGGUAACGCGAAGCUCUUGAUCGAAGCCCCGGUAAACGGCGGCCGUAACUAUAACGGUCCUAAGGUAGCGAAAUUCCUUGUCGGGUAAGUUCCGACCUGCACGAAUGGCGUAAUGAUGGCCAGGCUGUCUCCACCCGAGACUCAGUGAAAUUGAACUCGCUGUGAAGAUGCAGUGUACCCGCGGCAAGACGGAAAGACCCCGUGAACCUUUACUAUAGCUUGACACUGAACAUUGAGCCUUGAUGUGUAGGAUAGGUGGGAGGCUUUGAAGUGUGGACGCCAGUCUGCAUGGAGCCGACCUUGAAAUACCACCCUUUAAUGUUUGAUGUUCUAACGUUGACCCGUGAUCCGGGUUGCGGACAGUGUCUGGUGGGUAGUUUGACUGGGGCGGUCUCCUCCUAAAGAGUAACGGAGGAGCACGAAGGUUGGCUAAUCCUGGUCGGACAUCAGGAGGUUAGUGCAAUGGCAUAAGCCAGCUUGACUGCGAGCGUGACGGCGCGAGCAGGUGCGAAAGCAGGUCAUAGUGAUCCGGUGGUUCUGAAUGGAAGGGCCAUCGCUCAACGGAUAAAAGGUACUCCGGGGAUAACAGGCUGAUACCGCCCAAGAGUUCAUAUCGACGGCGGUGUUUGGCACCUCGAUGUCGGCUCAUCACAUCCUGGGGCUGAAGUAGGUCCCAAGGGUAUGGCUGUUCGCCAUUUAAAGUGGUACGCGAGCUGGGUUUAGAACGUCGUGAGACAGUUCGGUCCCUAUCUGCCGUGGGCGCUGGAGAACUGAGGGGGGCUGCUCCUAGUACGAGAGGACCGGAGUGGACGCAUCACUGGUGUUCGGGUUGUCAUGCCAAUGGCACUGCCCGGUAGCUAAAUGCGGAAGAGAUAAGUGCUGAAAGCAUCUAAGCACGAAACUUGCCCCGAGAUGAGUUCUCCCUGACUCCCUGAGAGUCCUGAAGGAACGUUGAAGACGACGACGUUGAUAGGCCGGGUGUGUAAGCGCAGCGAUGCGUUGAGCUAACCGGUACUAAUGAACCGUGAGGCUUAACCU
RNAcentral lists this ribosomal RNA (2901 nucleotides) under Escherichia coli. RNAcentral's name for it is "23S ribosomal RNA". It matches the Rfam family "Bacterial large subunit ribosomal RNA". The record is from RNAcentral. Lineage: Bacteria; Pseudomonadati; Pseudomonadota; Gammaproteobacteria; Enterobacterales; Enterobacteriaceae.